RNAcentral lists this long non-coding RNA (488 nucleotides) under Aotus nancymaae (Ma's night monkey). RNAcentral describes it as "lncRNA (ENSANAG00000038898.1)". The record is from RNAcentral. Lineage: Eukaryota; Metazoa; Chordata; Mammalia; Primates; Aotidae.
UUUUUAAUUUUAUUUCCUUCCCUUCUGACUAUGGAAACCUGCUUAUUAUUCUUAUCUACAUUUUGCAGAUGAAGACAUUGAGGCUCAAAGAGUUUGAGUGACUUCCCUGAGGUCCUACAGCCAGGACCUGGUGGAGCUGGGAUAGAACCCAAGCUUCCAGCUGAUGGUCCUCUGCACUUUCUCCCACACCUGUUGGCUUCCUGUACUCCUAAAGAAUCCAAGGUGUCCCUUGGGCACCUACCCUUUAUCAGCACAUCUGCUCAACUCAUUGUGGGGGAGGACCUGAAAGAUUGUGAUAUAUCUGUUGGCUCUGCGUGGCUUUGAAAAAAAAACAAAAACAAAAAACAGCCGGCUCUGCAGGAGAUCAGAGUUUAAUUAUUACCCAAAUCAGUCUCCCUGAGCAUUCAGGAAUCAGAAUUUUUAAGGUAAUUUGGCAGGUAGGGGCUUGGGAAUUGGGGAGUGCUGAUUGGUCAGAUUGGAGAUGAAAU